Molecule: long non-coding RNA, 1423 nt
Filed under: Carica papaya (papaya)
Lineage: Eukaryota; Viridiplantae; Streptophyta; Magnoliopsida; Brassicales; Caricaceae
Description: long non-coding RNA (CPAP_LNC013896)
Source: RNAcentral
CUAAAUAGAUGUAAAAAAUACUUUCUUGAAUGGUGAGCUUAUAGAAGAAGUAUAUAUGGAUCUUCCCCAAGGCUCAAUUGUUGGCUUAGGUUCUUAGUUUCUUUCUUGUGUUAACUUUUAUAGGAUUCUCUUUAGGUGAAAGAUUUUGAGGAUUCUCGAAGUCUUUGCUCUUAGAAAGGCAUAGUUCCUUUUACCCUUCGACUUUAACAAGUCUCUAGCUUUUUAUCUUUUUCAUUAAUUGUUGGCUCUUGUAUUCACCGAUAUUUAUGCAUAUCUAUUGUAGUCACCGGUAUUUAUGCAUAUCUGUUAUGGUCAUAGGUUUCACAAUAGCAUUCUUCAGCCCAAGUAUAAGAUGACAAGUAUUGGUAGCACCAUGCUGAAUAUGUCAUUUAUAAAGUCACAUUCGAUCCAAAGAAUAUGUGUGAACAUUGUAGAAACAAUUAUGGUACAGGCUUAAAUCAUUAUAUGCAAAAUGACAAAUUGAAGCAAGACAUUGUUGGGUUACUAAAAUACUUACGUCCAUCCAAGCUAUUGUGUAUUGUCAUGGAAGUGGUUGCACUGAAAUAGGGUUUUUGCAAUAAUCCUCGUGUAUGACAAACUUUCUAUUUUUAUUUCCACAAACAAACUAGGGCUUGAGACUACUUACCAUCUUCCUCCGCUUUACAUGUUCACUCGUGCUUAACUACAACUAGAAAGAAUUAUCAAGUCUGCUGUCUAGGAAUAAUCGCUCAUUCUUCAAUUCUGGACAUAUUUAAAAAUUUUCAAUCAGAGUGUGAAUUAUACCUGGUUGUGAAAAUAAACAGAUAAUAGCAAAAUUAUUUGGAAACCAGUUUGAACCACUGAAAACCAAUCUGGAAGAGCUUGAAACAGUUUGGGUAAACCAAUUUAAAUGCAAAAAUGUGGCUGGAACUGGUUAAGUAGUGUUGUUUUGACAAAUCUCACUCUUGGCUGCACACAAGAGACUCACUGAUUUCGAACAAGGAGAACUUGAGCAGAAACAUUUGAGAAAAUUUAGUGAGGGCUGAGACUAGAGAUCUAAGAAGUCAAUAAACAAAUCAAUAACUUUGUGUUUGAAUGAUAAUCAUAUGAAAUAUCUAUUAAACAAUCAAGUUAGGGUAUCUUAUUUGCAGGCUCCAAAAUACAAUUGAAAUAUAAAUCUGCAUAUGUAGUAAUUCUACUAAAUAAAAACUAGUUAAUUAAUUAAAUAUGGUAUAAUAUAGAAUAAUUAAAUAACAUCCUAACUAAGUAUGAAAUAAUAAACUCAUACUAACAAUAUGAAGAGGAGCAAAGCUGGAUACCAAAAUUGGAUGGGCUGCAUUUCAAGGUCCUAGAUGAUUUUAGCAGGGUUGAGUUGGAGAGGCUGUUCUUGGAAGAGGAGAUUUAUUGAGUGUCUAAUGCUAUGUAAAGGAGACAAAGCUCCUAG